UACGAAGGGGGCGAGCGUUGUUCGGAAUUACUGGGCGUAAAGGGCGCGUAGGCGGCCGAUCAAGUUAGAUGUGAAAGUCCUGGGCUUAACCUGGAGACUGCAUUUGAUACUGAUUGGCUUGAAUUCGGGAGAGGAUAGCGGAAUUCCCAGUGUAGAGGUGAAAUUCGUAGAUAUUGGGAAGAACACCGGUGGCGAAGGCGGCUAUCUGGACCGACAUUGACGCUGAGGCGCGAAAGCGUGGGGAGCAAACAGG
This 253-nucleotide ribosomal RNA is filed under the name uncultured bacterium. RNAcentral describes it as "partial 16S ribosomal RNA". It matches the Rfam family "Bacterial small subunit ribosomal RNA", at positions 524 to 776 of the family's 1533-position model. The record is from RNAcentral.